RNAcentral lists this ribosomal RNA (253 nucleotides) under uncultured bacterium. Its description in RNAcentral is "partial 16S ribosomal RNA". It matches the Rfam family "Bacterial small subunit ribosomal RNA", at positions 524 to 776 of the family's 1533-position model. The record is from RNAcentral.
GACGAACCGAGCGAACGUUGUUCGGAAUCACUGGGCUUAAAGGGCGCGUAGGCGGGCUGUCAAGUCCGGGGUGAAAUCUUUCGGCUUAACCGGAAAAGUGCCUUGGAUACUGACAGUCUUGAGGGAGGUAGGGGCAGCUGGAACUUCCGGUGGAGCGGUGAAAUGCGUUGAUAUCGGAAGGAACUCCGGUGGCGAAAGCGAGCUGCUGGACCUCUUCUGACGCUGAGGCGCGAAAGCUAGGGGAGCAAACGGG